This is a long non-coding RNA of Lolium perenne, 3576 nucleotides long. RefSeq lists it as uncharacterized. NCBI's taxonomy places the organism in Eukaryota, Viridiplantae, Streptophyta, Magnoliopsida, Poales, Poaceae. The record is from RefSeq and is a predicted model, not a curated record.
UCGACACCUAGCCCAUCGUCCCACACUCCAACCACACCUCCACCCGAACCCUCCCUCUCUCCUCAAACAUGAGCGCCGCCGAUACCGGCUUCCCUCCCGUUCACCCGCACCGGCGCAGGCCGCCGCCGCAGCUCCUCGUGCUUGCACCGAUCUGACCUCCGAUUUCCUCUCCCUGGUCUCCUCUCUCAAGUCCCGCCUCGCAUCUCGGAGGCCCUCGCCUGCCCCAACGCCCUCGACGCCUCCCGCAUCUCCAUCGUCAUCCGCCUUGCAAACCGCCGGUGGGUGUGCCACCGUGGCGGCGGGAGGGAGCUGCUCAGGCGCUUCGCUUGCCCCGUGGCACCCAUGGAACUGCUCACUUGAGAUCUCACCUAGGCCGUCGACCGCGGGCAUCGUUGGUGGACUAGACCCGUUCGUCUGAGUUCGUCUCUUUUGUUUUAUUCUGCAUUCAAAUAGUGUUCAGAUCAUUUUUUUCAUGUUUGAACUUUCUGAAUUUCUUCAGCGUUUUUGUUAACAUAGGUGGAUGAUUUACCACAUGCCUCACAGGUUGGAUGGGGAGUUUGAGGAUUUCGAUCAGGUGCACUUAGGGGAAUCGGAUUUGGAGUUUGGGAAUGAUGAGGAUGAGAUUAACGACAAUGAGGUCAUCAAGAUGAAGCCCCCACCGUCAGGGUUGUGGCCACCACCGCAUCGUCCCAGCAGUGCUAGCCUACAGGCGAACAUGCCGCUGUGAUCAAGGACUUGCUGUUGCUGCCAAGGUCCGCAUUUAAGAUCUUCCCCACCGCUCUUUGCAACACCAACUACUACACCUGGAGCUUCAAGCAUCAUAGGUAAACCUGCAUAUUCUUGAUGUCAAAUUGCUGUCGGUUGUUGGUAGGAUCCUGAGAGAGACAACUUCAUCAUCGUCAAUUACAGUGAGAGGAGAUCAUGAUAAGAAAGAACCAUGGACAUCAGAGUGAAGAAAAUAGCACAACAUUGGUAAUUUUGGGAUUGCGCGCAUCUACAAGAGAAAGAGCACGAAUACAGAAAUGGGUUGGAGCUGUGAUCUCCUCCAGUGCAAGUUACUUGACCGGUUGCUACACAGCUUGAAUAAAUUCGUUUUCUUUUUCUGAUGUAAAAAAGGUUCUGCUUGUUCCAAUGAUGUGUUCAUGAUAUUCCGAAUUUGAAUGAUCCGAAGAUGAGCUAUUAGCCUAUUAUGGUUCUUCUCCAUACUUGGUCAAGGGCAAUGCUGCAAAAUUUCCUAAAGAAGAGUUCUACUACUACUGAUAUACUAGGUUCAUUAUAUUUGGUAAGUGCACUAAUCCUAAUCCAAUAAGCCUUAAAUUAGUCACUAAAAUAUAUAAAGUUACCAAGAGACAGAUACUAAUAAAUUUUAAAGAGCGGCUUUUAUGGUUGGCGCUCAUAAAGACAGUGAAGGUAGUAAAGCCAGCCAACCAUUGAAAUAGAUAAUUUUUUAGAGUCAUUAGGCCUAUAUACACAAGGGAAAUGCAUUCGAAGCAUUGGAGCAAAAUAGUUCAUUUAUCUGAAUCAGUACUACCUGUUGCAACAAAAUAAUGUUAGUUGCCAAGUAGCUACAAACAUAGCAUUGUUUAAUUAAACCCCAAUUGUCUAGGUGCAUCAACAACGGAUAUUUGAACAAAGUAGUCUUCGGAAGGUAUAAACAACAAACAAACUCUACAGACCAACUUCCAGUAAAAUGCAUGACACUCCAGAUGUGUUCUCUGUUCAUGUGUUCAGUGCCACGUUUAUACCAUUCACCCCUGCUUACAGAGAAUAUUAUUUGGAAAGUGUUCCCGUUUUAUAGAAUAUUUUGGGACUUCAUUACCCCUUAUGUUUGGAUUUGUUCCUUACAGAAAAAAUAUGCAUGGCUGAACAUGCUUGAUCAGAACUCAGUAGGUUAAAAUCGGUGUCUUCAUCUCACCCACAUCGCUUACUUGUUACUGGGUUAGUAGCAUCUUCCUUGGCAGGAAGAGAUAGUAGGGUAAUCUUCAUCAAUCAAAUCUAUGCGUGAUUGUCCGUCCUUUUGGCUUGUUAUUUACCUGAUGAUGCUAACAUCUCUGCAUACUUUUGCAGUGUAUGCGAAUUUAUAUGUAGUUUAACCUGGAAAUUAAUUAAUUUUUUGGUACAACUCUAUCUUUGAAUAUAAACUCCUUGCAGUUCAGUAAAGUCCUUUUAUGUUAUAUAAGAUAGAUUCAGGGUGGUAUGCUGUCUGUUGGUUCGCUACAGCAUUUUAUUCCUUCUGCUUUCACUAAAAAAGCUUAUAAGGCUUGUUGUUCCGUCUUCUUUCAUAUUUUGCAAUCGAUCAAUAUAGUGUAACUUAUUGUUGUAACCUAUGAUAUGUAAUGAUUAUCAGAUGUGAAUUAUUGAGUCACUGAUUCUUUCAAGCAUUUAAGAAUCUGAUAAAGAAAGUAAUAGGAUUGAAAUAGCAUACAGGUUUUUGAUUCGCUUAGUUUUCUGCAAUUCCAUCAAUGUACAUGGCCAAAUAGAUUUCAUGAAGCUGACACAAUAUGUGUCUUUUUAGCUACCGACGAUAUAACAUAAGACAAUGAGAAAAACACAAGAAAAACACACCUGAACUUAUCUUUCCUUUUAUUACAUCAUAAUUUAUAUUCCUGAUAAAUUUCGUUUAUUACUUUUUGUUUUCCUCAUAUAAGUUUUUAUUUAUUUGAAUCUAUUAUGUACUAUGGAGGGAGUCACAUAGUUUGUAAAGUAAUCAGUUUGUUGUGUCAGGGAAUCUCAGUGGGAGGAAUUACAUAAAAAUAUUGUGGAUAUAAUUACAUAAUUUUUUAAGGGUACUAUAUAGUACGAUAUACUUAUAUAAUUUUAUUGAGUAGUAUAUUUCAAGCAUGUAUGAGCCAUGAACUAUUUGUUAAUACUUGGAAUGUAAUUGGAAAAAUAAUUGAAGGUACUGCAUUUUUCUUGAUUGAUAAUCAUGAUGUGAUUAAAUUAUUUUAAUCCCCAAAAAGCAAUUUGCAAGAUAAUGGCACAGAACAUUGAUGGGAUGAAGAAAGAAGUAAGAGGAGUCUUUGACUUUCUACAGUGUGGUGGUGUGAAAAGAGACGUGUAGCAAGAAACCAAGAAAGGAGAGAAUCAAGUGGGUGCAUGGUGCUGCCUGAAGUGGCAAGAAAGAAGUAGUCAUUCAUUGCUGAAAGUGAAGCCGAAGUACAGGCUUGGAAGCCUAAAUUAUGGUCUAGCUGUUUAAUAGACUGUGUGUUGUUAGUGUUGCUUUUUAGUUGAUAGAUUUACGCAAGGAACGAGAUUUAUGUGAUUACUUGGUCGAAAAAUGUAAUACUCCCUCCGGUUCAUAUUAAUUGAUUCUAAUAUGGAAGUCAAUUAAUAUGAAUCGGAGGGAGUAGUAUUUUCGCAUUAUCGCUGGAUGCCCAGUUUUUGCAUUUUUUUAUGAACACAUGUGCAUACAGUGAGUUGGUGAUUAGAGUUGAACCAUAGUCCGAACAAAGAUAAUUUCAUUGAAGUUCUUUGCUAGAAGGAAUGUGUUUUCUGUAAGAAAAUAUGUAUCAUUUAUAUAUGUGCAUUGAGAAAUAAAAUUUGAGGAUCCGUGGCAACGCACGGGCAUUUGUACUA